UACGGAGGAUGCAAGCGUUAUCCGGAUUUAUUGGGUUUAAAGGGUGCGUAGGCUGUUCGACAAGUCAGGGGUGAAAGCCCGGCGCCUAACGCCGGAACUGCCUUUGAUACUGCCGAGCUGGAAUACGGAUGCCGUGGGAGGAAUGAGUAGUGUAGCGGUGAAAUGCAUAGAUAUUACUCAGAACACCGAUUGCGAAGGCAUCUCACGAAUCCGUCAUUGACGCUGAGGCACGAAAGCGUGGGGAUCAAAC
RNAcentral lists this ribosomal RNA (250 nucleotides) under uncultured prokaryote. Its description in RNAcentral is "partial 16S ribosomal RNA". It matches the Rfam family "Bacterial small subunit ribosomal RNA", at positions 524 to 773 of the family's 1533-position model. The record is from RNAcentral.